CGCGGCCUAUCAGCUUGUUGGUGGGGUAACGGCCCACCAAGGCAUCGACGGGUAGCUGGUCUGAGAGGAUGAUCAGCCACACUGGGACUGAGACACGGCCCAGACUCCUACGGGAGGCAGCAGUGGGGAAUCUUGCGCAAUGGGCGAAAGCCUGACGCAGCAACGCCGCGUGCGGGAAGAAGGCCCUCGGGUUGUAAACCGCUUUCAGCAGGAACGAAAAUGACGGUACUUGCAGAAGAAGGUGCGGCCAACUACGUGCCAGCAGCCGCGGUGACACGUAGGCACCAAGCGUUGUCCGGAUUUAUUGGGCGUAAAGAGCUCGUAGGCGGUUCGGUAAGUCGGGUGUGAAAACUUUGGGCUUAACCCAAAGCCUGCGUCCGAUACUGCUGUGACUAGAGUUCGGUAGGGGAGCGGAGAAUUCCUAGUGUAGCGGUGAAAUGCGCAGAUAUUAGGAGGAACACCGGUGGCGAAGGCGCCGCUCUGGGCCGAUACUGACGCUGAGGAGCGAAAGCGUGGGUAGCAAACAGGAUUAGAUACCCUGGUAGUCCACGCCGUAAACGUUGGGCACUAGGUGUGGGUCUCAACCAACGAGAUCCGCGCCGUCGCUAACGCAUUAAGUGCCCCGCCUGGGGAGUACGG
Molecule: ribosomal RNA, 639 nt
Filed under: uncultured bacterium
Lineage: Bacteria
Description: bacterial SSU rRNA
Rfam family: Bacterial small subunit ribosomal RNA
Source: RNAcentral